RNAcentral lists this small RNA (124 nucleotides) under Marmota monax (woodchuck). The record is from RNAcentral. Lineage: Eukaryota; Metazoa; Chordata; Mammalia; Rodentia; Sciuridae.
GCCGGGCAUGAUGGCACAUGCCUGUAAUCUCAGUGACUGGGAGGCUGAGACAGGAGGAUCACGAGUUCAAAGCCAGCCCCAGCAAUGAUGACAUACAAAGCAAAUUAGUAAGACCCUGUCUCUA